Molecule: transfer RNA, 90 nt
Filed under: Lachnellula hyalina
Lineage: Eukaryota; Fungi; Ascomycota; Leotiomycetes; Helotiales; Lachnaceae
Rfam family: tRNA
About the family: Transfer RNA (tRNA) molecules are approximately 80 nucleotides in length. Their secondary structure includes four short double-helical elements and three loops (D, anti-codon, and T loops).
Source: Rfam by way of RNAcentral
GGUGACUUGGCCGAGCGGUUAUGGCGCUAGUUUCAGGGGAAACCACUAUACUAGUUCGAAAGAGCGUGGGUUCGAAUCCCACAGUCAUCA